AACGAACGCUGGCGGCAUGCCUAACACAUGCAAGUCGAACGAGACCUUCGGGUCUAGUGGCGCACGGGUGCGUAACGCGUGGGAACCUGCCCUUAGGUUCGGAAUAACUCCCCGAAAGGGGUGCUAAUACCGGAUAAUGUCUUCGGACCAAAGAUUUAUCGCCUUUGGAUGGGCCCGCGUUGGAUUAGCUAGUUGGUAGGGUAAAAGCCUACCAAGGCGACGAUCCAUAGCUGGUCUGAGAGGAUGAUCAGCCACACUGGGACUGAGACACGGCCCAGACUCCUACGGGAGGCAGCAGUGGGGAAUAUUGGACAAUGGGCGAAAGCCUGAUCCAGCAAUGCCGCGUGAGUGAUGAAGGCCUUAGGGUUGUAAAGCUCUUUUACCCGGGAUGAUAAUGACAGUACCGGGAGAAUAAGCUCCGGCUAACUCCGUC
This 433-nucleotide ribosomal RNA is filed under the name uncultured bacterium. RNAcentral describes it as "partial 16S ribosomal RNA". It matches the Rfam family "Bacterial small subunit ribosomal RNA", at positions 29 to 507 of the family's 1533-position model. The record is from RNAcentral.